Podarcis lilfordi (Lilford's wall lizard) is the source of this 74-nucleotide non-coding RNA. The record is from the annotation of a GenBank genome assembly. NCBI's taxonomy places the organism in Eukaryota, Metazoa, Chordata, Lepidosauria, Squamata, Lacertidae.
GGAAAGACGUCAGCUCAGUGGUGGAGCAUCUGCUUUAAUGCAGAAGGUCUCGGGUUCAAUCCUUGGGGUCUCCA